GUGACUCUUCUUAUUUUUGUGUAGUGUCAGCUAAUCUUUUUUUAUGUUGCUUUAAAUGUGCUAAAUCUGUAUGUGGUAAAUUACUUUUUCCUUUUAUUUGCAAGUACCUAUGUGCUAUUUUGUUUUAAUGCGCUGUAACAUGUAUGUGAUAAUUUGUGAUUUGUUUCUUAUCUACUUAGAGCCAGAUUCUUUAUUUGCUUUAAUGUGCUUUAACAUAUUUGCAUUUUAUUACAGCUGUUUUACUUAUGUUGAGCUUAUUUACAUGUGUUUGUCGGAAAAUAGCUUUAAGCUAGUGUUAUAUGUUUAUACUUAUCCGACGUUAUCAUAGUCACCGAGUUACAGUGUGCGCGAGACCUAGUCAAAGAACCUAUUAUCUUUAUCACCUCCAUACACUUGAAGCAACACACAAUCUAAAUGAUAUUUUAUGUUUUCUCAUUUUAUACCUGAAAAAGUAUGCUUGUCCGCGGACACACAGAAUGAAAAAUGCACUUGUCUGCCGGCAAAAAAUCACGAGUCGGAGAAGUUGGACAUAGGAAUCCCACAUCCCUGCAAGGAUGGGUAGAUCAAAGAACUUCGAGCAUCAACAGUCCACAAAAAGCACAGACGAACAGCCGUUUUCAUUUGGUUAGAUGUUUAUCCAUUCUAAGUUUGUAUUUAUCCAGCACUGUUUCCUAUACCAGUUAGGAAUUAUCCCCAAAUUUAAACCUACCUCAUAACCAAUACAAUUUUUAAGCUAUAAAAAUCAAUUUCAAACUUUGAUACUGUUAAACAUUGUCAAAGAGAUAUUUAUGGAACUAAUACAUUUAAUAAGUAAGGUCUUACUGCAAUUUCUGGUACUUUGAAACAGUCAGAAACAUAAAACAUGUUCAUUUUGAAGACUUUUUUGAGUGCAUUUUAAUGAAUUCCAGCCACAUAAUGUGACAUUUCGAUUGAAAUAUUUAGUACACAAAACAUGUUAUCAAUACAGGAUAUUAUGACUAUCAAAAGUUUUACGCUAACAUUGCAUACUCACAUAAAGACAUGAAAAAAGACAAGGAAAUUAACUACAUACAUCGUCUUUCUGUCAGCCAUGUUGGCACUGAGUUAGGGUCGCUGAACAGAGUUAAGAUUAUCCGGGUACAUGGCGUGUGAAAAGAUAACGUUAGUGGUCUUGUUGGAAAAUAUCAGGGACAUAAAUAGAUACACUUUUCCUGAAGAUAUACAGCAGAGAUAUUGAGAAUAAAAACACCCUUGGAAAUAUCUGUUAAAAUUUUACAACAGUCCGUUAGAAAUGAGGGGUGGUGCAUUCAGGCUUCCAUAAACGAGAAAACUAUAAUACCCUUAUUACACAUAUAUUUGUUUUCGAUUUUAUGUUAUUUGUUAAGACAGUGACUAGGCAUCAGUGACUGAUUCUUGCAACUUAGUGUCACAUACGUAGGGGUUUUAUGACUAUGGACUAUGAAUACCUUAAGUAAUUUUCGUGUUCACGAAUGUGAUGACCCUCUGUUUAAAUCGUCGGCAAGGCGGGAGAAAUUCGUCUGAUAAUAUUUUUUUUCGUGACAAGUAAAAUGUGAAAUAGGUAACUAUAAAAAGCAUGUGGUCAUUCUGAACAGAAUUAUAAGAAACUUAUCUAAAAGCCAUAUCUGUACAUUCUAUAAAUGAAUUAAAACCGUAGAUUAUACACAUUUGUAAAGUUAAACAUCCUAAUCAUGAGAUAAAAUAUUUCGAGCCUGGCAUUAGGACGCAUAAAGACAAGAUUUUUCAAUGUAAAAGAAUAAAUCUCUAUGUGUUACAGAAAUAUCACUUACUAAUAUCUUGUUAUGUUAGGAAAAGGUGCUCCUGUGUGGAAGUCUCACCCACCCACCUGUCGAAAAUCAUUGUGUUAAACUUUCACUGUCCAACCGCUUACCGUGGCCCAGUGGCUAAGGCGUCCGCCUUGGGAUCGGGAGGUCGAAGGUUCGAGCCCCAUGGGGACCGUUCGUCCGAGGAAUGUUUGUCAUGCGACUGGUUCCGAAAAGGCCGGUUCGUGAGCCGCGAGCUAGUUAAAUGAAUGGUUAUCGACUUCUAUCCGCCUGGCAUAGUGGUAGGAGUUGGGAGGUAAUUGGUACGCACUAUAAAGGUGUCUUAUAAGCCAAAUUGGCCGGCCCUUUCAAUAGGGGUGACACUAUAAUAAACAAGACCUUUACCUUUUUAUAGAUGAUCUCGCCUACCUCGGCAAAAUUGUCAGUUUGAGCCCGGACUCGGCCUUGUGAAAUUAUUUUUAAAGAAGCUAUCCAGCAAGUCUGCGAUAGUUUCUGGUUCUUUCCAGUAAGUGUGUUUCUCUACUACAAACAGAUGAUCUCCGACGUUUUACUUAAUUUUAGCUAACCGUUAAAAAUUGACCCCAUUACUUAUCAAAAUUUAACGACUUAUCAGGUCUCAACGACUUUUUGAUCAAAAUUUAAUGUUGAAAUGUUGACAGGAUCAACUCUCAACGUUGAAAAAUGACACAUGGGGUCAAUUUUCAACGGGGUCAAAAUUUAAUGUUACAGGUCGUCAUAUGAGAAACAGCAAAUGAGUCCGAAGCGCAACUAAUGGUCAAAGUCUAACAGUCAUUGGAUUUAAUCGGCAUUUGUGUGAACUUUCCCCAAAAAAUAAUGUAACAUGCAAAAAUCUCAACUUGGUCUCAUUUCGGAAUGUUUAUCAUAUAUAUUGCUACACAGAACAGUUGUGCGGUGCAAUGACCCGGCAACUUAAAUGAACUCGUACAAAACAUGUUUGACACAGUCUUACACAAUUCACUCAACCUUUGUGAUUUAAUCAACGCGUUAUUCCCGAGGCACUGUUCAUGCUCAGUUCACUUAGCACGUGACUUUCGUGACAACAUAUUGUUAUUGUUAUUGUUAUAGCCAGUCCGGGUUUUCAGAGAGGCGAGUCAACAAAAUGGUAUGUAAUUUUUUUAUUCUGUGUUUUCUUUUCUAUUUUCUUUCUAUUGCUGUCGUAUUUCUUUUCUCAUUUCUUCCGUUAAACGUGUAGAUGAUUCAUUUUGUGGUUUUCGCCCAUCUUAACCUGUGAUUAUCAUUCAAAUUCCUGUAAACGCAAGAAACUACUUCUAGAGAAAUAUCUAAUACAACAGUUUGUUUUCUUAACACUGAUUAUAAAGAUUGAUUCCAAAGAAUAUUCAUUAGCUUUAAUGUAUUUUAAAUACUGGGAGUGAAAAGCCAGUCGUCCUCGAGAUUUUUUUCAGCACGCAUUCAUUCCGUAUAGGGAUCGAUGCCAUUAUUAUGCACAAACUAUACAGGUAUUAGAGAUGGUACCUAAAAAAUUCAAAUUCAUCUUUACAGGGUUUUUUCAGAGUGAAAUGAUAGCUAAGUGCACCAAUUUUCUAAAUAUAUUUAUGGUUUUCCUCUUCUGCAUGUCAAAAAUAGAAAUAUUUAAUAUCUAAAAAAUGACUUUCUCAAAAUAUCUGAAGCAAAAUGGACAACUCUUGUACUGACCGUUUUUCAAAGAUUUUAGGACUUCCCCAAUUAUAGUCUAUAUCAAAAGCUCCCACAGCUAAAUAAAUUCAAUAGAGUAUAAAGUAAGUUUACACUACUUUCAACAUUUUGAAAGAGCCUAUACUGAAUUUCCUUUUGUCUUUUAAUAAAGUUAAAUUCCAAGACUAGCCAAGAGUCUAAAACGCAUGAAAAAAUUCUGAGUGAAAGAGAAUGACAUGCUCUUUAUUAUAAGCUUACCAAAACCAUACCAAAAAUGUACCUUAAAGAAGUUAUUAAAGAUUUUAUAUUGUAAACAAACCCCUACACCAUUUUACCCAUCAAUAUUUCCCACUCAUGAAUGCACUCAAUCCAGGUGAUAUAAUUGUUGAUAUAUUUGUAAAUGAGAGGCCCCAACAAAAUCUUUUUUCAAGUUGUGUAAACAGUUUAAGUUGUAAAUUAACGUUGAUAUCUGAAGUUACCCGGUUCCUUUGUUUUCAACAUAAUUAAAACACCGUUUAGUUUGAUUAGGGUAGUUGACUUGUAACGAAAAUCAUCAAAUAGUGUAAUCUCUAUAUGCUUUUUCACCAUUUAUUCGUUUUUCAAGGAAAGCAAGUGAUCGUGCUAGUUCCCACCAGAGAAUGUUUAAAUUGAGAAUUGCUUAAAAUACAUUACAUAGAGUCUUUACCUAUCAGCUACCUUAAAAUGUAGUAAUUACAACCACUACCUUAAAGCAUUGUAAUUAUAUUUGAUGACAAUGAAUUUUUGUGUUACCAAUUUAACUUUUUUUGUUAUUUCUCAUUGUUGGAUAUAUACAUUUUACAUUUUGAUAUAUAAAUGUUGUGUAAACAAAUGUAUCACCAUUGAGAACAAUAAAUAAAUAAUUUUGGCUAAAAGAUCAAAACUUAAUAACGUUUCUUAAUGUCGUUAAUUUUCUUCAAAGGAAUUUAUGCAUUAUUUUAUAUCAUCUUCAUGCAUUACUAAACUUUCUAUCUGGGCCUCACUACAAUUUACAAAAUAACUGUCUGUGUAAGUCAUGAGAAAAGCGUGCAUAUUGUAUAUUGAAUACAAAGGGGUUUAAACAAAUGUAGGUCAUAUUUUGUCUGCCUGAUAAGUUGUUUGAAAAAGGACCUAUCUGAUUUUUCUUUCACUUUUGACCAAUGUUUAAUGUUGGCUUCAGUUUAUUGGUCAAUUAAGAGUUGUCCCCCUUUGAUUUAUUUGGGUAGGUACCAUCUCUACAGGUAUGAUGGAAUUUUCACCUGUACUUUUUGCUAUUGCCUGAAGUGAACGAUUGCUAUAGAAACAAUCAAAUUAUGUAUUGUGCACGUAUUUUUUACUGGGAACAUGUUUUAUAAGUCUUAUUUAUAUGACUGUGACAACAACUUGGCAUCCAUGAAAACUUGUGCAAAAAGGGACGCAUGGCGUGGCUUACAACAGACUUCCGCUCUACUAUUUAAAUUGAGAAUUAAUUUGAUAAUAUUGAUUUAAAAUAAAGUUAUAUACUGUUCUAUUACACCAUAUGUUGUCAAACCAUUAUCUACAUCUACGGAGAUACUCCGAACAAUCAAUUUCUGAUCAUAACUGGGAGGUCGGGGCAGUUGUUAAAAAACAUGUUGCAAUGUUACAUGAUACAUGAUAUUCAUGUUGUUAAAAGAGUAAGAGCAGUAAUAUAUACAGCUUGUUAAAAAUAAAAACAGGAUGAUGACAUUAGUACAAUACAAGUCUAGGUCAGAUGUGAAGCACUGAAGGUUCACACUGUCCUUGAUAUUAUAAGGUAAGGCGUUCCAGUAUCUGAUUGUGCGGGGAAAGAAGGAGUUCAUAUGAUAUUGUGUUCCUGAAGAUGGAAUGAUAAAGUUUAAAUUUCUAGAGAUUGUCAGGUGGUUAUGAUCUAAAGAGACGAGGUCGUGUGAUAUUUUAUACAACAUAAUUAAAGAUGCAUGUAUUCUCCUUUGUUCUAAUGUCUGCCAUUUAAGAGUUUCAAGCAUUGAUGUUACGCUGCUUUGGUAUGAGUAGUCAUUCAUAACAUAUCUGGCUGCGGCUCUUUGUACCUUUUCUAUCUCAUAUGUUACGUUUUUCUGCCAUGGAUGCCAUAUGGUGUUACAGUAUUCUAAUUGUGGCCGGUUGUUUUGUAGGCAGUUUCUUAAAUAUUACGGUUAUUACAUUGUACAUUUCUUUUUAUAAAUCUGAGGGUAUUACUAGCUUUUGAAGAUGUAAAUUCAAUAUGUUUUUCCAACAAAUAGACAAAUAUCGUUAAUUGGUUUAUAUUAAGGCCAACUUUUAACGGUAGUCAUAUCCUGGAAUACAGAUUCCGGGUCUUUCUAUCGAUUGCAAAGUAUCAUACAAGUAUAAACAAAUAUUUUAAAACUGCCUUCAUAGCUUUAACUGCAAGUAAGACAUUUACUUUUAACAAAUCAUAUUUUAUUUUUUGCAGUUUUCCAGUUGCUAUGGUGGCAUUAUUGCAUAGAUAAGAGACCAUCCAUAAUUCAGUCACAAAUCGACUGACGUGGUUUCAGAUUUGGAGCAGGAAGGGUGACCGUGUGUACAUACAGAUCAUGGACUAAGGUAUUGUCAGAUCUGGAGUAUAAAUGGUGUGUAUGUUUUCAUAUUUUCUUUGUCUGGAAUAUCUAAGGUACCCCUAGAAUUAAUAUAGGUUUCUGUUUUUACACAUAAGUUUCAGUUUUUUUCCUAAAUACUAAAAUGGGUAGCCACGGAAACAUACGUCUAGGCAAUGAAAUAAAUGGAUGGCAGCUGUUCAGGUGUAAAAUGUUAUAUAUUUUGGAAAAUACAGGGAGUGUACAUAUAUGUUUACUUUUUAUCCCUCAACGAAAGUCGGAGGGAUAUAGUUUUGGCGUUGUCCUUCCGUCCGUCCGUCCGGAGCCAUAUCUAGGAAAUGGUUGGGACUAUUUAUAUAAAACUUUAUAUACAUGUUUACCACUAUGAUUUUUUGCGGCCAGCCAAGUUUCAGUCAGAUUGCCUAAGUAACACCAGAGUUAUGGCCCUUAAAAGUUUCUAGUGUUAACUAUAUAGGGUACUAUAAAUAUGGCAAUUUCUGCAUCUUAACUUUUGAUAAAUUUGACCUAGAACUAUGAAACUUAAACAGAAUUUAGAUCACCAUAAUGUGGUUGUGUACACACAAUUUCAUUCUGAUUUAUUCUGUAAAUUAAGAGUUAUUGCCCUUUAAUUGUAUAAAAAUCCACAUAUUUGUACAUAACAAACUUAUCACCAUUUGGCAGAAUUUCAUUAAAUUUCUUUCAUUCUUUUCCAUGAACAUUACAUGGUCACCCCCUUACCUUGAUCACUCCCCCCCCCCCACACACACAAACAAAUCAUUCCUUAUUUUAGAUUUUUUCAAACAAACUUAUGUACAUGUUCCCCACUUUGGGGUUAUGGGGCCCAUCAAGUUUCAGUCAGAUUGCCCAAGUAACACCAGAGUUAUGGCCCUUAGAAGGUUCUAGAGUUGACUAUAUAUUAUAGGGUACUAUAGAUAUGGCAAUUUCUGCAUCAUAACUUUUGAUAUAUUUGGCCUUGAACUAUGAAACUUAAACAGACUUUAGAGCACUAUAAUGUAGUUGUGCACACACAAUUUCGCAUUUCUUUUUUUUCGGAUUUCUUUUGUAACUUCAGAGUUAUUACCCUUUAAUUGUCUUCCAGGCUAAGGAAUAGUCAUGUUAGUAUAAAAAUGCAGCAUUUGAGCCUGACUAGGUCAAAAGGGACUGUUACAAGAAAAUGUUUAUCCUGAUGAUAUUUAAUGUGUAUGUGCUUUAUGUCAAAACGUGAUCAUAUCAUUUUGAUCAAUGGUACUCAGGUGAGCGAUACAGGGCCAUCGUGGCCCUCUUGUUAUUUUCUGUGGCAACAAAUUUGAUAUAUUUGUUUCUCUUUUUACACAUGCCUCCCUGUUUCUAUACAUUUAACAGGGUUACUGUGAACACUUACCACCACAUCUUGGCAAUGGUAUGUAUGGAUGACCGACGUUUAGAUGUUCAAAGUUUUUGCAACGAUUUUGGAGCAUAUAGGAAUGCUGGGGUAUGUGUACUUGAAGAAAAAAAGACGCAGACGGACAGGACAUGGAGAUGCAGACCAAGCAAAAUGUGCGUUUCUCUUUAUGAUGAACAGACAAUGCAAUGGUUUAGUGGAUGGUGCAGCUCUGGUACAUGAUAUUGACUACAAGCACGUGCGUGGAUGUCAUGUUGUAGAUUUCACAGUGGUUAAGUCGGUGCUGCAACUUGAUCCUUUUUCUAAGGAAUGUGCAUUCAACUUAUGGCUAUGGUGAAAGAAAAGCUCGAAGUAUCGGACAAGAAACUCAAAACUAUUCGAUAAGAAACUCAGGCUAUCAGACGAGGAACCCGAACUGUCCGACAAGAAGCAGUUUCCUGUACCAUACACGAAGAAAAAUUUAGUUGAUGGAACUACGGUUGUCGUGGAAUUGCCUUGCUGGUACUAAAAAGAUGCCGAUAACCAGAGGGGCACUGGUAACCAAUCGAUGUCGCUUAUCAGAGGUGUUCUGGGUCCCUUAUGUCAACAUAGUAAUCAACUGUUCUCGACAAGCAGACGACACUUGCUGCUUCUACCAGAUGAAGCCAGUGGCGGAAGAAGGGACCCGAUGCCUGGAAUAACUUUGCAGUAUAAAAUUUUGCACUGUUUGAAUGGUCAAGAUAGAGUGGUUUUAGUGGAAUACAGCCUUUCAUGGACAUAUCGUCUGUAUUUGCCCUGUUCUGCUGAUGGUAGAGAGCUCUUCCACACCUCGUGCACAGAUCAGAAUCCGCGAGGUAGGCGACGAAUUCAUUCAGGUUUAAAACGACAGGAAGGCAGUGUUUUACAUUCAUGACAUUGUUGAAAGACAAAGAAAAAGAAUCGAUUCCAGAACGUGCCGUCCUGUGUUUGUUGUUUUCGGCAGUUGAGGGGUGAGUCUGGUGCAUGCCAGAUACUAUCUAUUGAUUUCAAACACUCUAGUGGGAAAUAUAUGCAGAAGAAAGAACCAAGUAUGAUAAAUCCACGACAGACCUGGCACAAGCAUAUAGUAUGACACAACUACAGCCGCCAUGACAAAAGCAUAGUUAAACAAAUUAGACAUAAGCUAACAUAUAUAUAAUUAUACCCCAACGUACAAAGUAUAUUGGGCUAUGUUGGAGUCACGCAUGUCCAGUCCAUCCGUUCAUUUGUCCACCAUGGCAGCUGGGAUGCUGACAUAAAUUAUAAACCACAUCAAGACGAUGUACAGAGCACUCAACCUAGGUCACAAGGCCCAAGGUCAAGAUUACUCAUGGAGGUCAAAGGUCAAAUAGCUUAGCUUCAUGUCCACUCUAUAUUGUCUAAACGGCUUUGAAAAUAUUUAGCUCGACUGUUUGAAGAAUAAGGAGGAUUACUGUACUUUCCUUGGCGUCUGUGUCACUGUUACCGUUGCAUUGAAAGUUAAAAUUUUAGGACAAGCUUCUCAGUGUCACUAUAUCUUCUUACUACUGCCCUUAUUAACAUCAAACUUCACAUAAGUGUUGGUCUUGGUAAGGGAAAGACAUCUACAUGUAUUAGUUUAGGAACAAGUAUCCUAAAUGUCGAAGUCACUGGCUUAAAUAUUGUGAUAGUGCUGGUUAAAGUUUCAUGAUAAGCUUCUCAAUUUCACAAUAUAACCUCACAUAAGAAUUGAUCUUGGAACGUGGCAGAAAUCUUUUUGUUUAGGGUCAGGUUGCUCAAAGGUCAAGGUUACUGGGUUCAGAUUUUGUAACAGUGUUGGUUAAAGUCUUGUGGCACAUUUCUCAAUUUGACUUAUAUCUCAUAAUGUUUCUUAGAACUGGUAUCCCUCAUGUCCUAUCCUUUUUAGCAAUACCCACACUUCAUCUACGUUCCUCCUGACACCCACCCAAAAAUGCGUUCCGUACAAAAACUUAUAUUUCAUGUUUCCAUCAACUCCCCUACUCCGCUGUCUUCGCCUACCUCCUCCGCCCCAUUUCACCGAACCUUUGCCCUCGUCCCCUCCAUAAAAAGGAUAAAAAAUUCCUUUUCGAUCUCCCACACUUACUUAUAAUAAUAACAAUAUUUUGUUAAACAUUUUCCUUAUAGUCGAGCAGACACAAUUAACUCAGAUCACUAGGCCCACGGUCAAGGUCACACCUAAAAAUCAAAAGUCAUGAUGACAACAUUUUACUUUCCCUUUAUCAAAGUGAGGUCUGGGGGUAUUAAUCGACUUCAGUGAUAGCCUUAGUUGAUCAGGUGUUAGUGGCAUAAAUGUGUAACAUUUGCUUUAUUAGGGGUGGGGGAUAGGAAUGGUCUUCGUCCGUCCGUCUGCCCAUCCGCAACACUUUCGUGUCCAGGCCAUAUCUCCUAAAUGCCUUGAAGGAUUUUCAUGAAACUUGGGUCAAAUUAUCAACUCAUCAAGAUGAUGUGCAGAAUUUAUAAAUCAGUCAUGUCAGUUCAUUGUUAAGGUCACAGCUCAAGGUCAAAGGUUCAAGUUACCCUUUCACUAUCCAUAACAGUGGCGGGGGUUUUAGCUGUCUUUCAGCCUUCCAUUUUGUGUCCGCUUUGUAUCUCCUAAACCCCUUGAAAGAUUUUCAUGAAACUUGGGUCAAAUUAUCAACUCAUCAAGAUGAUGUGCAGAAUUCAUAAAUCAGUCAUUGUUAAGGUCACAGCUCAAGGUCAAAGGUUCAAGUUACGCUUUCACUAUCCAUAACAGUGGCGGGGGUUUUAGCUGUCUUUCAGACUGCCAUGUAAUAAUUGAUUUUAGGACGGGACAUAUUUGUUUGUUUCAGUGUAAGAUCGAUCAAAUCAUUCUAAAUACAUCUCGCGAAAAUGUAAACUCUAGUGUUCAAGCGUGAAAAAUAAUCAAUUUUACUAUAAAUCAAAGAAAUUUUAUAUUAUACAAUUAAAUAUAUGUGUACUAUUAAUCAAAGAAAUUUUAUAUUAUGCAGUUAAAUGUGUGUACUAUAAAUCAAAGAAAUUUUAUAUUAUGCAGUUAAAUGUAUGUGUACUAUAAAUCAAAGAAAUUUUAUAUUAUGCAAUUAAAUAUAUGUGUACUAUAAAUCAAAGAAAUUUUAUAUUAUGCAAUUAAAUAUAUGUGUACUAUAAAUCAAAGAAAUUUUAUAUUAUGCAAUUAAAUAUAUGUGUACUAAAUUGUACACAUUUUACAAGUAUAACAUCUCACCCAACGCGCAACGUUACGCUUAAAAUUAUGGCAAUAUAUAUGUUGGAAAAAGUUAUAUAGUUCUACUAGAUUGAUUUCUUUUACAUUUUAAUAUAAAUAUUUUUUAAUGUUUUUUUUUUCCUAUAAAAACAAUCAGAUUAUAUAUAAUUCAUAUUCUUUCGCGUUAAAUUGAUGUUGCGUGCAAGUGAAAACUGUAUUUGGAUUUCUUACUUCUGAAACAGUGGGUUUAUCAGGGUAUGUAUAAUCUAUCGUUUUAUUUCAACAAUAUCUGAAAACUUGGAAAGAAAUUCAAUAAAACUAUAAAAUGUAGCGAUAAAAUCAUAGCUCUUUUAUUUAUUCAAACACACUUUCUACUGCACUUUGUCUGGUUGGUAUUAAUGUAGCUUUUAAAAGUAACUUUAGCCUCAUUUCUUCUGACUUCUACACUGUUUGGUAUAACUCUUAAUCGACACCCAACUGAAUGCACUAACAUUAACUCUUGCGGCUAAAAUUACUUUUAAAGCAAUUCUGUCUAUUAUCAGGAACAAAGUGUUAAACUGGUAAAUCUUUAGGAACGAUGGGUAGAAAGAUUAGCUGAUCAAAUAUUUAGUAGAAUUGUUGGCAAAGUUUUUGGUUUUUAGUCAUCGCUUUAAAUAAUUACUGGGAUACAACGUUAGAUUAUAACAUGAUAAACUCAUUGUUUCAAACGGAGAGAAAUCCAAAUAUGAUUUUUCACUAGUACGGAACAACACUUGAACGCAAAAGGAUAUGAACUGUAUGUAAGGACUGGAAAUUUGCUUCAAAUAGAAAAAAAGAUGUUUAAUACUGCUUACAAAAACACUAAAAUAAUACACGCCAAACUAUUAAAAUCUAAAAGAAACAUAACUUUUUCCAACAGCAUUUUGACGUCAUGAAAUAUAGCGUGACGUUACGCAUGGCGCAGGUCUCAGCGCGGUUGAAUUAGAUAACAUGAGAUAAAUCUAUUUUAACUCUGCAAGAUAAUAAAGCAGUACAAAAUAAGCGAUGAGUUUUUCAAAUAGUUCAAAAAUAAGAAUUAAAAUGAACAUGCAAUACAUAUAUAAAUCUGGUAUAAUAAUAAUAAUAAUAAUAGAUAAGUUUUUCAAUUAAUUAAACAUUAAGAAUAAAAAUGAACGUGCAAUACAUAUAUAAAUCUGGUAUAAUAAUAAUAAUAAUAAUAAUAUCAUCAAUAAUAAUAAUAAUAAUGAAUCAACUUACACAUAAUGCUGAAUUAACUUUCACUCUGGAACACCAGUUUUCAGUUUAUUCGGUGAAAGAAAUUUUGAUCUUAUACGGAAACCAACACAUGCCCCAUUUCUAUAUAUUUUUACAGCAAUAGUAGGUAACAAACAUCAAUAUUUUGAGGAGAUACGGCUUAAAAAUAAGGUUACACAACCUAGGACUGAAAUCAUUUUAACUGUUGUUAGAUAUUUUUUGUUUUGUGUUCCCAAGAUAUUCCCGUGAAGAAAUUUAACUUCACAUUAUUAUUCCUCAAGACCAGAUGACAUGUUGAACACAUCACCUAUGCCUGAUGGUCAAAGGCCAAAGGUCACAAUUCAAGGUCAAAGGUCAGAUAUUUGGGUUUUGCUCCAUAACUUCUGUGCCUAGAAGGGUUUUAUUACUUAAUGGAUUUGAUUCAGAUUUAAAACAGUUGUUCAAUAUCAUCACCCAUAUCAUAUGACACAAGGUCGAUAACUCUUGCACCAAUAUUUCAUAAAUUAUGCCCCCCAUUUUUACUUAGAAUUUAAGGUUAAAGUUUUUAACACUCACUCUCAGUUAUUAUUAAAUGGAUUUGAUUCAAACUUAAAAUAGAUGUUCCACCUUAUCAACCACAUCAUGUGACACAAGGUGCAUAACUCUGACACCAAUUUUUCAUGAAUUAUGUCCCCUUUUACUUAGAAUUUAAGGUUAAUUUUGAUGAAUUUCCACUAUAUCUCAUAUAUAUAACUUCUGUGCCUGGAAGGGUUUUAUUGCUUAAUGGAUUUGAUUCAAACUUAAAAUAGUUGUUCCACAUCAUCACCCACAUCAUAUGACACAAGGUGCAUAACUCUUGCACCAACAUUUACUGAAUUAUGCCCCCUUUUUGGUUAGAAUUAUACUUAUAUAGUGUUUUUAUACACUUUAUCUGUACCUCUCUUAUAAUUUGAUAUUUUUUAACACAGACUCAGGCUACUGUGCAAUUUUCAUCCACCAUUGGAGUCAAAUCAAACACUUCAGUGACAAUUCUUGACAGAUAUAAAUAUUUUGGUACACAGGUGUAACAUCAUAAAAUACAGGUCAAGUUCGAUUUAAGUUGCACCUUCUUUUGGCCAUGUCUUUCUUAUGAUUGCCAUUCUUCUGUGACAAGACCGUAUUGUGAUUUUUUGUACAUGUAUUAAAUUUUAGAAAUAUUCUUCAGAUUGAAUAUUUUCAUUAUGAUUAUACUUUACAAUGUCAU
This is a long non-coding RNA of Mercenaria mercenaria, 12997 nucleotides long. RefSeq lists it as uncharacterized. The transcript is spliced from 10 exons. The record is from RefSeq and is a predicted model, not a curated record. Lineage: Eukaryota; Metazoa; Mollusca; Bivalvia; Venerida; Veneridae.